RNAcentral lists this ribosomal RNA (253 nucleotides) under uncultured bacterium. Its description in RNAcentral is "partial 16S ribosomal RNA". It matches the Rfam family "Bacterial small subunit ribosomal RNA", at positions 524 to 776 of the family's 1533-position model. The record is from RNAcentral.
UACGUAGGGUCCAAGCGUUGUUCGGAUUCACUGGGCGUAAAGGGUGCGUAGGUGGUGAGGUAAGUCGGAUGUGAAAUCUCCGAGCUCAACUCGGAAAUGGCAUUGGAAACUACCUUGCUCGAGGGUUGGAGGGGGGACUGGAAUGCUUGGUGUAGCAGUGAAAUGCGUAGAUAUCAAGCGGAACACCAGUGGCGAAGGCGAGUCCCUGGACAACUCCUGACACUGAGGCACGAAAGCUAGGGGAGCAAACGGG